AAAGAGGAAGAGGAAUCUGGACAUCUGUAUCAGGACAGUGAGAGGAAGAGGAACCUGGACAUCUGUAUCAGGACAGAGAGAGGAAGAGGAACCUGGACAUCUGUACCAGACACAGAGAGGAAGAGGAGCCUGGACAUCUGUAUGAGACAGAGAGAGGUAGAGGUACCUGGACAUCUGUAUCAGGACAGUGAGAGGAAGAGGAACCUGGACAUCUGUAUCAGGAUAGAGAGAGGAAGAGGAACCUGGACAUCUGUACCAGACACAGAGAGGAAGAGGAGCCUGGACAUCUGUAUGAGACAGAGAGAGGUAGAGGAACCUGGACAUCUGUAUCAGGACAGUGAGAGGAAGAGGAACCUGGACAUCUGUAUCAGGACAGAGAGAGGAAGAGGAACCUGGACAUCUGUACCAGACACAGAGAGGAAGAGGAGCCUGGACAUCUGUAUGAGACAGAGAGAGGUAGAGGAACCUGGACAUCUGUAUGAGACAGAGAGAGGAAGAGGAACCUGGACAUCUGUAUCAAGACAGAGAGAGGAAGAGGAACCUGGACAUCUCUAUCAGGACAGAGAGAGGAAGAGGAACCUGGACAUCUGUAUCAGGACAGAGAGAGGAAGAGGAACCUUAACAUCUGUAUCAGACAGAGUGAGGAAGCGGAACCUGGUCAUCUGUAUCAGGACAGAGAGAGGAAGAGGAACCUGUACAUCUGUAUCAGGACAGAGAAAGGAAGACGAACCUGGACAUCUGUAUCAGACAGAGAGAGGUAGAGGAACCUGGACAUCUGUAUCAGACAGAAAGAUGAAGAGGAACCUGGACAUCUGUAUCAGGACAGUGAGAG
This 832-nucleotide long non-coding RNA is filed under the name Salmo salar (Atlantic salmon). RNAcentral's name for it is "lncRNA (ENSSSAG00000099475.1)". Lineage: Eukaryota; Metazoa; Chordata; Actinopteri; Salmoniformes; Salmonidae. The record is from RNAcentral.